AGUGAACGCUGGCGGUAGGCCUAACACAUGCCAGUCGAACGGCAGCACAGUAAGAGCUUGCUCUUACGGGUGGCGAGUGGCGGACGGGUGAGGAAUACAUCGGAAUCUACUUUUUCGUGGGGGAUAACGUAGGGAAACUUACGCUAAUACCGCAUACGACCUACGGGUGAAAGCAGGGGAUCUUCGGACCUUGCGCGAUUGAAUGAGCCGAUGUCGGAUUAGCUAGUUGGCGGGGUAAAGGCCCACCAAGGCGACGAUCCGUAGCUGGUCUGAGAGGAUGAUCAGCCACACUGGAACAGAGACACGGUCCAGACUCCUACGGGAGGCAGCAGUGGGGAAUAUUGGACAAUGGGCGCAAGCCUGAUCCAGCCAUACCGCGUGGGUGAAGAAGGCCUUCGGGUUGUAAAGCCCUUUUGUUGGGAAAGAAAAGCAGCAGGUUAAUACCCCGCUGUUCUGACGGUACCCAAAGAAUAAGCACCGGCUAACUUCGUG
RNAcentral lists this ribosomal RNA (492 nucleotides) under uncultured bacterium. RNAcentral's name for it is "partial 16S ribosomal RNA". It matches the Rfam family "Bacterial small subunit ribosomal RNA", at positions 29 to 507 of the family's 1533-position model. The record is from RNAcentral.